This 253-nucleotide ribosomal RNA is filed under the name uncultured bacterium. Its description in RNAcentral is "partial 16S ribosomal RNA". It matches the Rfam family "Bacterial small subunit ribosomal RNA", at positions 524 to 776 of the family's 1533-position model. The record is from RNAcentral.
UACGUAGGGGGCAAGCGUUGUCCGGAUUCAUUGGGCGUAAAGAGCGUGUAGGCGGCCAGGUAGGUCGGUUGUGAAAACUGGAGGCUCAACCUUCAGAGGUCGACCGAAACCAUCUGGCUAGAGUCCGGGAGAGGAGAGUGGAAUUCCUGGUGUAGCGGUGAAAUGCGCAGAUAUCAGGAGGAACACCGGUGGCGAAGGCGGAUCUCUGGGCCGAUACUGACGCUGAGGAGCGAAAGCGUGGGGAGCGAACAGG